AUGGCAGAUGCUAGCUCAAGGACUGACAACUCAACUGUUGUAGACAACGACGGCAAGAUUUAUAGGUUAGAACAAGGACAGAGUGGUGGGGCAAUCAUGGCUUCUAAUUCUUCGGAUAGGUCUGACAGGUCUGACAAGCCCUUGGACCAAAAGACACUGCGCCGUCUUGCUCAAAAUCGUGAGGCUGCAAGGAAAAGUCGACUAAGGAAGAAGUCAUAUGUGCAACAGCUAGAAAGCAGCAAGCUGAAGCUUGCACAACUAGAGCAGGAGCUCCAGAAAGCUCGCCAGCAGGGAAUCUUCAUUUCUAGCUCAGGAGACCAAACCCAUGCCAUGAGUGGAAAUGGAGCAAUGACUUUCGAUCUGGAAUACACUAGAUGGCUUGAGGACCAAAACAAGCAAAUCAAUGAGUUGAGGACUGCAGUUAAUGCUCAUGCAAGUGACAGUGACCUGCGCCUUAUCGUAGAUGGGAUAAUGGCACAUUAUGAUGAAAUAUUUAAGGUCAAAGGUGUCGCUGCCAAGGCUGACGUGUUCCAUAUACUGUCAGGCAUGUGGAAGACGCCUGCCGAAAGGUGCUUCCUGUGGCUUGGGGGUUUCCGUCCAUCCGAGCUCUUAAAGCUCCUGGUGAAUCAUCUGGAGCCGCUAACCGAGCAGCAGAUGUUGGGAUUGACCAACCUCCAGCAAUCUUCCCAGCAGGCAGAGGAUGCACUGUCACAAGGAAUGGAAGCAUUGCAGCAAUCACUGGCAGAGACUCUGGCUGGAUCUCUGGGUUCCUCCGCUGGCUCUUCGGGGAAUGUUGCAAACUACAUGGGUCAGAUGGCCAUGGCCAUGGGCAAGCUUGGAACGCUCGAGAACUUUCUUCGCCAGGCUGACAACCUGCGACAGCAGACCUUGCAUCAGAUGCAGCGAAUCCUGACUAUCCGUCAGGCCUCCCGCGCCCUCCUAGCCAUACACGACUACUUCUCGCGUUUGCGCGCGCUGAGCUCUCUGUGGCUUGCUAGGCCCAGGGAAUAA
RNAcentral lists this ribosomal RNA (1011 nucleotides) under Triticum aestivum (bread wheat). Its description in RNAcentral is "partial small subunit ribosomal RNA". Lineage: Eukaryota; Viridiplantae; Streptophyta; Magnoliopsida; Poales; Poaceae. The record is from RNAcentral.